CCACUGGACCACCAGGGCAAGUAUUUUUAAACCCCCCUCUACCCCUGUCACUCACUGCCCCUCCUCCCCCCUUCUACCCACUGUCACUCACUGCCCCUCCUGAAGAGAAUGAUUUGACUCACCAGAACAAAUGCAAUAAGCUGUAGUUGUUCUGGUGACUAUAGUGUCCAUUUAAGUUUUCAGCAAGUUGAGCUACAAUAGCUCAUCUGUGUGAGUCAGUGAACCUUGGGCGCUUAUGACCCUGAUGCCAGUUCACCAGUUUUCCUGUCUUGCACCACUUUU
This is a non-coding RNA of Pelobates cultripes (western spadefoot toad), 282 nucleotides long. Lineage: Eukaryota; Metazoa; Chordata; Amphibia; Anura; Pelobatidae. The record is from the annotation of a GenBank genome assembly.